ACGGUAAAGUUUUGACAAAAAGGUCAGCUUCUUCAGGGCAACGGAAUAGUUUUGGCUUUCCAUCCACUGUGACUCUCAGUGUACAGGGGUACAGCAAAGAGUAUUUAAUAUCAGCAGCACGGAGGAUCUUCUUGACAGCAUCAAACUCUCGACGUUUCUUGACCAAACCAGCACUGAAACCAGGGUAAAUAUGAAUGCGAGUGCCGCUGUAGGUUAGCACCUCUUUUGCCCUUGCCAGACGUAGGAUCUUUACUUUGUCCUGGAAAUGCAAGAACUUAACCAAGAUGGGUCUAGGAGCAGAUCGAGCAUUGGAGCCAAAAAUAGGAGUGCGGUGAGCCCUUUCAAUAACCGGCAUAGUGGAAAAGUUUUCACAUCCCAGAAGCAAUGGAAUCAUCUUGUUCAUGAACACAAUCAUAUCUCUUCCUUCACUUUUCUCUGGAACACCAAUAAAGCGAAGGUUGGAUGACCGGUUUCUAUUCUCUGCAUCUUCCACUUUGUCUUUCAAGUAGGCAUUUUCUUUUUCAAGAGUUUGUACACGUUUAUUCAAAUCAUCAACAUUGUCUUCAUUCGAACUCACCCUUUGUUCAAGCUCAGAAAUUUGCUCACACAAUGAAUUCAAAGAUCCUUGAAUAUUUUGAAGUCCUGUUUGAAUGGUCUCAGUCUUUGAGUCAAAGUGAGCAGUCAUUUCAGUUUUAAACUGCUUAAUUGCAUCCAAUAUUGUUUGGAGGGAAGCCUCAGCCACAUGAUCCAUUGUGUGAACCAAACAAUUGUCUGCACAAGGCAAAACAAAGCUUCCACAACAGCAAAUAUCCAACAAAAGUCAAAUAUUAAGUUAAUAAACUAAAAAAUAAACAUAAACUGAUCAAAAGAACCAAUUAAUACGGGCCCACAUGGGAAAAGCAGACUAAACCCAGCAGCAAGCACUCAAGGUAAUCCAGCCAUGGCGGCCAUUUUGAGACCAGUUUGGUCUGACUAGUUUGCAGUAGUAGAUUUUUUAAGUAAAAUGUCCUCAGUCUAAUCAUGUUGUGCAUAGUUGAAAUCAGUUUAAUAAGUUUAAUAAGAAUGCAGAAUGUCUUUGUAAUUAGCAAAUGAGGCUUAAUUUUUACUGGACUGGACUGGAACGUUCAUAUGGGUUAACUUCUCCCGUCCGAUGACUGCUGGGAUAGGCUCCAGCCACAAAUAGGAUUAAAUGGGUUUGACGAUGAAUUAAUGGAAUUUUUUAAAAUACAUAUCAACUAACUCUGAAUCUGGAUAAAGAGAUACGCCUUGAGCAUGUGAGUAAAGCAUCAACCUGAUAGUUAUGAUGCAAAACCUGUAGAGUAUAUAUUUUAUUGAUAUUCUUUAACUCACAGGACUUACUGGCAUGGAGGGCAUUAAGGGCACAACAAGAUGAGGAAUUUCAACAAUGUGUUCUGAUAGACAGAGAACAAGAAAUGAGGCGUAGACAAGUUUGUGAACUGGAGAGGCGCAGAAGACAAAAAAUAGGUGAACGAAGGCAGAGAUUGAGUUUGGUCCUUGAGCCAGUUAAAGUUUUCAGAUGGUCAGUUGCAGAGGAGAAGAUUUUUGACUUCACAGCCAUUCCAGGAUUUGGUGGCAUUUGCAGGUGUCAAUGACAUGGCCAGUGAAGUAUUUUCAUUACAGCUGGCCAUGUCACCAACACCAAUGUUAAGCACUUUGACUGGCACU
Molecule: long non-coding RNA, 1686 nt
Organism: Astyanax mexicanus (Mexican tetra)
Lineage: Eukaryota; Metazoa; Chordata; Actinopteri; Characiformes; Acestrorhamphidae
Exons: 4
Source: RefSeq, a predicted model, not a curated record